GCUUACGGCCACACCGCCUGUUUCACGCCCGAUCUCGUUUGAUCUCGGAAGCUAAGAUAAGUUGGGCCUGGUUAGUACUUGGAUGGGAGACCGCCUGGGAAUACCAGGUGCUGUAAACU
This is a ribosomal RNA of Scophthalmus maximus (turbot), 119 nucleotides long. The record is from Ensembl. Lineage: Eukaryota; Metazoa; Chordata; Actinopteri; Pleuronectiformes; Scophthalmidae.